CGCGGUACUCUCAGUGCGGUACCCUAGCGACGGCGAGGCGGGCCUACGGCGCCAGACACCGGAACCGGAAGUUGUUUGGAGACUUUGCAUCUCAACUGGAAAAGAAGCUGCUGACUGGACUUCUUCCUUCUCCCGAGGUGGGCUCGGCACGAAGGUCAUGGCAGCCAGUCCAUGAGGGAGGCAGGCAGCGGACCCUGAGGGGCAGUGUGAAGACUUAAACUUGGGCUGGAUACAAAGACAGUACCCUUAGAAUUAUGCUACAAUAACAAAUAACAGCUUUGCCAGUGGACCUUUUACUACCCCUGAAGAAUCCCGUUUCCAGGCAUGAGCACUUGGACUUUCUUUCUUUACUUAAGACUUUGCAAUGAAAUACAAAACACUUACUGGAGUUCUUCGGUCUGCGCGUGGUGGGCUCAGUGUGGAGGUCAAGACAGCAAUACACGGUGAAGGGGAGGCAGUCGGAGUCUGAGAUAAAGGUUGGUGACUCUGUGAUCUCACCUCCCCUCAGAACUGCAAUUAUCAUUUCACCUGCAGUGGGAAUGACAGUGCAGGCUUGGGGAACUGAGAACAUUUCCAGAAAAACUUUUUUCCAGUUGCUAAUUAUGAAAACCAAUUACAAGCUUCUCGUGAGUAUCUCCAAAGAGACUGUUGGAGUGUUAGAGAGGCUAUUACUUUUUCAGGAUGCCCGAGGCACACCGGCUCUCACGCGUAAGUACUAUUGAGCUCUGGGCCUCGAGGUCCUUGCGAGGGUUUUGUGUCUCGCUAGAUUCCAGCGUCCCUGAGUUCUUCCACCCAAAGUCAAGUUAAGUUUUCAUUUUGGGGUCCCUGAGUUGCACCAUUUUAAGUAUUCAGCCUAAAAACAGAACCAAACAGUACCAGAGAAGGAUGUCUAAUGAGGCAAGAGUGAAAGGAAGAACAUGAUGUUAACAAUUGACAUUGGAAGUCAUUGGUUUCUUCCUCAUGAUGGCUGACUUAAGGCAUUUCCAGUGUGCCUCAUCCACUUAUAAGAACCAAAAUAGUGUUAAAUGAUCACACCUUGAACAUAUUAUCCAAGAAGGAGCAUAGCUGUUCAACAGAAAAGCAAAAGGAAAAUCCAGGUUCUAGGAAGAAGUGCAGGCACCGUCCAGGCUGGACCGGCUAAAGGCCACGGUGAAUACCCAGUUGGGAGAGCACGAGUGAGUGUCUCUGUGGGCCGCUUUCCUACGGAAGUACAGUGCAGUCCAGUUUGUCUCCAGAAUUUCCCCUUUUCAUAAGGACACCAGCCAUAUUGGGUUAGGGGCCCAACCUACUCCAGUGUGACCUCAUCUUACCCUAACUAAUUGCUUCUUCAAUGACUCUAUUUCCAAAUAAGGCCAUAUCUUAAUGUACUGGGGGUCAAGACUGCAAUAUAUGACAUUUGAGGGGGAUACACAAUUCAAGCCAUACGAGAAAGGGUGUGAUGAUGCCAUACUCACAAAAUGCAGAUGUGACUCAGCUAAAUAAUGGGAGAGAGGCCCACAGAAGAAGAAGCGAAGGGAAUGUUUCUUUCUCAGGCAAAUGUGGAGUCCCAGGUCACAUGCUAAGUCCUCUAUUCCUUGGGAAAAGCCAUGCUUUUCUAAUUUGAGAACUUCUACUUCUCUACUUCUGAAAUACAAGCCAAAAAGAGAAUAUGGUGUGUGUGUGUGUGUGUGUGUGUGUGUAGUAUCAUGGGAA
Microcebus murinus (gray mouse lemur) is the source of this 1692-nucleotide non-coding RNA. NCBI's taxonomy places the organism in Eukaryota, Metazoa, Chordata, Mammalia, Primates, Cheirogaleidae. The record is from RefSeq and is a predicted model, not a curated record.